GAUGAACGCUGGCGGCGUGCCUAAUACGUGCAAGUCGAGCGAAUGGAUUAAGAGCUUGCUCUUAUGAAGUUAGCGGCGGACGGGUGAGUAACACGUGGGUAACCUGCCCAUAAGACUGGGAUAACUCCGGGAAACCGGGGCUAAUACCGGAUAAUAUUUUGAACUGCAUGGUUCAAAAUUGAAAGGCGGCUUCGGCUGUCACUUAUGGAUGGACCCGCGUCGCAUUAGCUAGUUGGUGAGGUAACGGCUCACCAAGGCAACGAAGCGUAGCCGACCUGGGAGGGUGACCGGCCACACGGGGACUGGGACACGGCCCAGACUCCUACGGGAGGCAGCAGUAGGGAAUCUUCCGCAAUGGACGAAAGUCUGACGGAGCAACGCCGCGUGAGUGAUGAAGGCUUUCGGGUCGUAAAACUCUGUUGUUAGGGAAGAACAAGUGCUAGUUGAAUAAGCUGGCACCUUGACGGUACCUAACCAGAAAGCCACGGCUAACUACGUGCCAGCCGCCGCAGUAA
RNAcentral lists this ribosomal RNA (515 nucleotides) under uncultured bacterium. RNAcentral describes it as "partial 16S ribosomal RNA". It matches the Rfam family "Bacterial small subunit ribosomal RNA", at positions 28 to 523 of the family's 1533-position model. The record is from RNAcentral.